AUGGAAAAGACCAUUCCUGAGGUAUAUUCGAUGCUGAAAUCAGCGGAGGUGGAGAUCAGAAAAGAACAUCAAGUGUUGAUGGUGAAUAAAACCACUAAGUUCAAGAAGGGCAAGGGUAAGAAGAACUUCAAGAAGGACGGCAAGGGAGUUGCCGCGCCCGGUAAGCCAGUUACUGGGAAGAAGCCAAGGAAUGGACCCAAGCCUGAGACUGAGUGCUUUUAUUGCAAGGGAAGUGGUCACUGGAAGCGGAACUGCCCCAAAUACUUAGCGGACAAGAAGGCCGGCAACACCAAAGGAACUGCGGAAUAA
RNAcentral lists this ribosomal RNA (309 nucleotides) under Triticum aestivum (bread wheat). RNAcentral's name for it is "partial small subunit ribosomal RNA". The record is from RNAcentral. Lineage: Eukaryota; Viridiplantae; Streptophyta; Magnoliopsida; Poales; Poaceae.